UCCGGGUCCGGGGUCCGGGCGCGGCGCUGACGGCUGCCCGCAGGCUCCUGGGUGCAGCUGCGGAGCGGCCCGGGGGGGCGCCGACCCCGCGCCCUCCUCGUGCCACGCCGACGUGGAGCGGCUGCUGCUGGAGGCGCAGCUGGAGCCCGACGGCAGCGACGGGUGAGUGCCGGGCGGGCGGCGGGGCCGGGGCCGGGGGGCGCCCGGUGACCGGCGGGCUGUGUCCGCAGAGCCCCCACGGCGCCGAGCCCCCCGGCCCGCGGCGAGGAAGGAGCGGGGCGAGCGAGUGAGCGACCACCUCCCCGCGGCAGGGCCCCCCCGGGCCGCCCGCAGCCCCUGCCGGGGACGGAGCCGGCCGCCCGCGCCCAGCGGGACGCACCGGAGGACACCGAGCGGACGGGGCGACGCCUGCCCGCAGCCCUCGGCCGGGGCUGUGCCCGCUGCCCCGAGCAGCUGCCCGCGAGGGACUUUGCCUUCGUGUGCUCCCCGCAGCCGGUGCUGUGGAGCCUGCCGGGAGGGGCGGUGGGCAGGAAGAAGAGGCUGUUCAGUUCCGAGCUGCUGCUGCUCUUCAUCCCCUCGCUGCUGCUCAGCCACGUGCUGACGCUGGGACUGGGGUGAGUCUGCCAGGGCCAGAACCGACCCCCGGGUGCUGGCGGGGCGCAGCGCUGCUCUGCUGCUGGGGCCUCUGGCUGCCCUGGCAGGAGGCUGUCGCCCUGGGA
Molecule: long non-coding RNA, 719 nt
Filed under: Anas platyrhynchos platyrhynchos (common mallard)
Lineage: Eukaryota; Metazoa; Chordata; Aves; Anseriformes; Anatidae
Description: lncRNA (ENSAPLG00000026379.1)
Source: RNAcentral